This is a small nucleolar RNA of Penaeus indicus, 195 nucleotides long. RefSeq annotates it as small nucleolar RNA U3. NCBI's taxonomy places the organism in Eukaryota, Metazoa, Arthropoda, Malacostraca, Decapoda, Penaeidae. The record is from RefSeq and is a predicted model, not a curated record. The transcript has a single exon.
AAAUCCAACAAAAACAAAAAAAAAAAGUGCGAUUGCAGGGUUUCUCCGCCAGAUUAUCGGAAUAUGUCAAUCACGAUGAGGAUGUUAGUGUAAUCCUCUGAGCGGGAAGCGACUUUCAAGUGUUGUGCUGAAAAUUGAUGACCGUUCUUUCUGACGGUUUACGAUGUCAGAGGAGGAUGGAACAGGCUGAGUGGU